This 440-nucleotide ribosomal RNA is filed under the name uncultured bacterium. Its description in RNAcentral is "partial 16S ribosomal RNA". It matches the Rfam family "Bacterial small subunit ribosomal RNA", at positions 338 to 795 of the family's 1533-position model. The record is from RNAcentral.
CCUACGGGAGGCAGCAGUGGGGAAUAUUGGACAAUGGGGGAAACCCUGAUCCAGCGACGCCGCGUGAGUGAAGAAGUAUUUCGGUACGUAAAGCUUUAUCAGCAGGAAAGAAAAUGACGGUACCUGACUAAGAAGCGCCGGUUAACUACGUGCCAGCAGCCGCGGUAAGAGGGAGGGGGCAAGCGGUAACCGGAUUUACUGGGGGUAAAGGGAGCGUUGACGGGAGCGCAAGUCUGGAGGGAAAGGUCGGGGCCCAACCCCGGAACUGCUCUGGAAACUGGGAUGCUGGAGUGCAGGAGAGGUAUGCGGAAUGCCUGGUGUAGCGGUGAAAUGCGUAGAUAUCAGGAGGAACACCGGCGGCGAAGGCGGCUUACUGGCCUGUAACUGACGUUGAGGCUCGAAGGCGUGGGGAGCAAACAGGAUUAGAUACCCGAGUAGUC